CCACACAUUCACAUGUUUUUCUCCCCUUUCGUGCCUCCUCGUCACUUUUCCUCCCUCCCUCGCCUUUCUUCCAACGUUCUUGCUCCACAGUUUCUUUGUUCCCUUGUGAAUUUGUGAACCAUUGAGGCCAUCUGUCGGGGGAAGAUGCUCGGCGAGGAGCUGCACUAACAGAGAAUGGGGCGGAGCAACUCCGGGGGUUGCAUUUCAUCCCAUUCCCAAGGCGCGGAGGCGACGGCGGCCGAGGCAAGCGUGGUCGGGGAAAUCUGCUUGAUGAUUUUCCCAAGGGAAGCAUCGGGAAGAAAUUCUGAUCGCCGGAGAAGAGAUCGCCUGAUUCUCGUAGAGAAGGCAUGCCGAGUCGUCUAGCCCCGUCGCCAAGUUCAUCAGAGGACUCAAGCGAUGGUCAGUCCAAUCGUUCCAAGUCCAAGGCCCCUCCACCCCGACGGUCGUCGAGAUCAUCCGGCUCUUCGUCAGAUGAGAAUGGCGACGACUCGUCUAGUCCAUCUCGAUCAUCUCAAGACGACGACGAUGGAGGCUCGAGGUCCUCCUCGUCAUCCUCGGAUUCGCAAGAUUCAUCUCCCUCGGAUUCUCAAGAUUCAUCUCCCUCUGAUUCAAAAGGAUCGCAGUCCUCUCGUCGGUCCCCUCCACCAUCGAAAUCAUCCCCGUCGCCGUCUUCCUCGCCCUCCCGGCCUUCCAGUUCCCGGAAGGGAGGAAAUUCCGACUCUUCAUCUCCGCCACCGUCUGACGAGUCUUCCGGGGACGGCGAAGAUAACGACUCUUCGUCGUCGCCGACAUGGUCAUCGCCUCCGGAAGAAUCGGAAGACUCAGAGCCUUCUCCGUCUCCAUCCUCCUCUAGGAGCCCUCCGCCUCGCUCAUCUCCAUCCCCGCCGCCGGGAUGGAGUGAUAACGAUGACCAAGCAGGUUCUCGGCCUCCUGAGGGCAGCCAGUCACCUCCUUCUCCUUCUCCUCCUCCUCCUCCGGCGCCGGCGAACCAUUCGGUGGUGUUUAUCCCUGUAGUAAAUAGCCAUCCCGGAGCACCGCCGGCGCUUGUCUCCAUCGCACCCCCUGGUACCGUCGGUUUGAUGUCUACUCACCUCCCAGGAGCACAAGGCGCCGCUGGGGCUGGCGGCAUGCAGGCUGCAGCUGCAGGUUCGUCAGCCAGCACAUCGAGUACUAAUGGUGCUGGUGGAAGCGCAGCUUCUUCGUCUGCACAGCAGCUCCACUCAUCACAAGCAAUAAAUGGCCAGGUAGCGGCCGCCAUUGCAGGCGCUUCCGUUGCCGGCUUGCUGUUCAUCAUCGUAGCCAUCUUCUUCAUCGUGACGAGGAAGAGGAGGAAGAUGAUGGAGGGAAUGGUCUAUCACUCGGAUGGGAGCCGGAGCUACUACAUGCACUCGGGCCAGCUCGUGGGCUCCAACCACCCGUCGUCGGGGGUGUUCUACGGGCCGCCGCCGCCGGGAUCGUCCGGCGGGUUCUCCUACGGCCCUCUGGCGACGCCGGGGCCUCCGGGCUCCACGGACAGCUUCAGAGGAACAGGGUACUACCCGUCGGGCAGCAUGGAGCAGCCGCCGGGGAACAAGUCGUCCUUCAGCUACGAGGAGCUGACAAGCAUCACCAGCAACUUCUCACGCGACAACGUGAUCGGCGAGGGCGGGUUCGGGUGCGUGUACAAGGGGUGGCUCGCCGACGGCAAGUGCGUGGCCGUGAAGCAGCUUAAGGCCGGCAGCGGGCAGGGGGAGCGCGAGUUCCAGGCGGAGGUGGAGAUCAUCAGCCGCGUCCACCACCGCCACCUCGUCUCCCUCGUCGGCUACUGCGUCGCGCAGCACCACCGAAUGCUCAUCUACGAGUUCGUCCCCAACGGCACCCUCGAGCACCAUCUGCACGGCCGCGGCGUGCCGAUGAUGGACUGGUCGACGAGGCUGAGGAUCGCCAUCGGCGCGGCCAAGGGGUUAGCUUAUCUUCAUGAAGAUUGUCACCCGCGGAUCAUCCACAGGGACAUCAAGUCGGCCAACAUCCUGCUCGAUUACUCGUUUGAAGCACAGGCACGAACUUAUAACAGAUGAGUUUAUUUUUCUGUUUCUCAUCUGGAAUUUGAAAUGCAGGUUGCCGAUUUCGGGCUGGCCAAGCUCUCCAACGACACCCACACGCCCGUGUCGACGCGCAUCAUGGGCACCUUCGGGUACCUCGCCCCGGAGUACGCGUCCAGCGGGAAGCUAACGGACCGGUCAGACGUCUUCUCCUUCGGCGUGGUGCUGCUGGAGCUCAUCACCGGCCGGAAGCCCGUCGACCAGGACCGGCCGCUUGGGGAGGAGAGCCUCGUCGAAUGGGCUCGGCCGGUUCUCGCCGACGCAAUCGAGACCGGCAACCACGGCGAGCUGGCCGACCCGCGGCUGGAAGGCAGAUACAACAAGGCCGAGAUGGUGAGGAUGGUGGAGGCCGCUGCCGCGUGCGUCCGCCACUCGGCUCCCAGGCGUCCCCGCAUGGUGCAGGUGAUGAGGGCGCUGGACGUGGACGUGGACGAGGGGAGCAUGUCGGACCUGAGCAACGGGGUGAAGGUGGGGCAGAGCCAGGUGUUCAACAACAGCCAGCAGGAGGCCGCCCUGGAGCAGCUCCGGCGGACGGCCUUCGCCACCGAGGAGCUCACGGGGGAGUUCGAACUGUCCGGGGAGUACAGUGCCGCCGUCAAUACCAUGAACCAGCCGCGGGCCGCGGGGUGACAGUCGACCAACAUGUUUGUGUGUCUCUUGUAGCUAAAACUUUCUCUUUUUUUUUCCUUUUCUUGUAUAUCGACCGCCUCUGGUUUAGAGGGCUUCAACGUUGAGUACAUGAAUGACAACCGUGAGAAUGUGC
This is an RNA transcript of Hordeum vulgare subsp. vulgare (domesticated barley), 2844 nucleotides long. It is a transcript of the gene named proline-rich receptor-like protein kinase PERK13, with no coding region annotated. The transcript is spliced from 7 exons. The record is from RefSeq and is a predicted model, not a curated record. NCBI's taxonomy places the organism in Eukaryota, Viridiplantae, Streptophyta, Magnoliopsida, Poales, Poaceae.